ACCUGAUCCAGCAACGCCGCGUGAGGGAUGACGGCCUUCGGGUUGUAAACCUCUUUCAGCAGGGACGAAGCGCAAGUGACGGUACCUGCAGAAGAAGCACGGCCAACUACGUGCCAGCAGCCGCGGUAAUACGUAGGGUGCGAGCGUUGUCCGGAAUUAUUGGGCGUAAAGGGCUCGUAGGCGGUUUGUCGCGUCAGGAGUGAAAACUCGGGGCUUAACUCCGAGCCUGCUUCUGAUACGGGCAGACUAGAGGUAUGCAGGGGAGAACGGAAUUCCUGGUGUAGCGGUGAAAUGCGCAGAUAUCAGGAGGAACACCGGUGGCGAAGGCGGUUCUCUGGGCAUUACCUGACGCUGAGGAGCGAAAGUGUGGGGAGCGAACAGGAUUAGAUACCCUGGUAGUCCACACCGUAAACGUUGGGCGCUAGGUGUGGGACUCAUUCCACGAGUUCCGUGCCGCAGCUAACGCAUUAAGCGCCCCGCCUGGGGAGUACGGCCGCAAGGCUA
Molecule: ribosomal RNA, 504 nt
Filed under: uncultured Actinomycetes bacterium
Lineage: Bacteria; Bacillati; Actinomycetota; Actinomycetes
Description: bacterial SSU rRNA
Rfam family: Bacterial small subunit ribosomal RNA
Source: RNAcentral